This 450-nucleotide ribosomal RNA is filed under the name uncultured bacterium. Its description in RNAcentral is "partial 16S ribosomal RNA". It matches the Rfam family "Bacterial small subunit ribosomal RNA", at positions 29 to 523 of the family's 1533-position model. The record is from RNAcentral.
AAUGAACGCUGGCGGCAGGCCUAACACAUGCAAGUCGAACGGAUCCUUCGGGAUUAGUGGCGGACGGGUGAGUAACGCGUGGGAACAUACCCAAAGGUACGGAAUAGCCUCGGGAAACUGGGAGUAAUACCGUAUGUGCUCGAAAGAGGAAAGAUUUAUCGCCUUUGGAAUUGGCCCGCGUUGGAUUAGGUAGUUGGUGGGGUAAUGGCCUACCAAGCCGACGAUCCAUAGCUGGUUUGAGAGGAUGAUCAGCCACACUGGGGCUGAGACACGGCCCAGACUCCUACAGGAGGCAGCAGUGGGGCAUCUUAGAGAAUGGGGGAAACCCUGAUCUAGCCAUGCCGCGUGAUCGAUGAAGGCCUUAGGGUUGUAAAGAUCUUUCAGGUGGGAAGAUAAUGACUGUACCACCAGAAGAAGCCCCGGCUAACUCCGUGCCAGCCGCCGCAGUAA